This 469-nucleotide ribosomal RNA is filed under the name uncultured bacterium. RNAcentral's name for it is "bacterial SSU rRNA". It matches the Rfam family "Bacterial small subunit ribosomal RNA", at positions 335 to 796 of the family's 1533-position model. The record is from RNAcentral.
ACUCCUACGGGAGGCAGCAGUGGGGAAUAUUGGACAAUGGGCGCAAGCCUGAUCCAGCAAUGCCGCGUGUGUGAAGAAGGCCUUCGGGUUGUAAAGCACUUUUAUCAGGAGCGAAAUACCACGGGUUAAUACCCUAUGGGGCUGACGGUACCUGAGGAAUAAGCACCGGCUAACUUCGUGCCAGCAGCCGCGGUAAUACGAAGGGUGCAAGCGUUAAUCGGAAUUACUGGGCGUAAAGCGUGCGUAGGUGGUUUUUUAAGUCUGCUGUGAAAUCCCCGGGCUCAACCUGGGAAUGGCAGUGGAUACUGGAAAGCUAGAGUGUGAGAGAGGAUGGUGGAAUUCCCGGUGUAGCGGUGAAAUGCGUAGAGAUCGGGAGGAACAUCAGUGGCGAAGGCGGCCAUCUGGCUCAACACUGACACUGAGGCACGAAAGCGUGGGGAGCAAACAGGAUUAGAAACCCCAGUAGUCC